Lolium perenne is the source of this 508-nucleotide long non-coding RNA. RefSeq lists it as uncharacterized. The record is from RefSeq and is a predicted model, not a curated record. Lineage: Eukaryota; Viridiplantae; Streptophyta; Magnoliopsida; Poales; Poaceae.
AAACGCCCCCAUUAUCUCUUUGCUUCGGCCAUCCGCCUCUUUGCUUCCAGCCUUCAUACUGAACCUUCAUCAUCUCCCCGCACUACAUAAUUCUGGCCCAAACUGACGGAUGCAGAUGCAGCCUUCAACAUCGCCCUCCUCCUAUUAGAUAUAUGUGAUCAGAUCUACAUCACCAUCAACAAAUCAAGUAUACAAAAUCCCCCUUCUUGAUGGCGGCCCUGUACCAACACCACUCAAAUGGCGGCAGCAGGUGAUUCACCCGUCAGACAGAACACCUGCAGAUGCCUCGCUCCACUCCACAACGGCAUGAGAGCUCGAUGUUAUAUCCGACAAUAGCUUUUUAUGUUUUAUGUCUUACUUGAUUCACUAGGCACCCUGCGUAUGGAUGGAAAUUGAGAGGGGGCCAUUUGGAUCUCAAUGUUUGUUUUGUAAUUAGCAACUGAUAACAAACUCCUGUACAUAUUUAAGGUUGCCACAUUGUCUGCUCGAUGCUUGAUGAAAUGUUAUG